UUCGGUGGUGGAUUAGUGGCGAACGGGUGAGUAACACGUGGGCAAUCUGCCCUGCACUCUGGGACAAGCCCUGGAAACGGGGUCUAAUACCGGAUACGACCACCGCGGGCAUCCGAGUGGUUCGAAAGCUCCGGCGGUGCAGGAUGAGCCCGCGGCCUAUCAGCUUGUUGGUGAGGUAAUGGCUCACCAAGGCGACGACGGGUAGCCGGCCUGAGAGGGCGACCGGCCACACUGGGACUGAGACACGGCCCAGACUCCUACGGGAGGCAGCAGUGGGGAAUAUUGCACAAUGGGCGAAAGCCUGAUGCAGCGACGCCGCGUGAGGGAUGACGGCCUUCGGGUUGUAAACCUCUUUCAGCAGGGAAGAAGCGAAAGUGACGGUACCUGCAGAAGAAGCGCCGGCUAACUACGUGCCAGCAGCCGCGGUAAUACGUAGGGCGCAAGCGUUGUCCGGAAUUAUUGGGCGUAAAGAGCUCGUAGGCGGCUUGUCACGUCGGUUGUGAAAGCCCGGGGCUUAACCCCGGGUCUGCAGUCGAUACGGGCAGGCUAGAGUUCGGUAGGGGAGAUCGGAAUUCCUGGUGUAGCGGUGAAAUGCGCAGAUAUCAGGAGGAACACCGGUGGCGAAGGCGGAUCUCUGGGCCGAUACUGACGCUGAGGAGCGAAAGCGUGGGGAGCGAACAGGAUUAGAUACCCUGGUAGUCCACGCCGUAAACGGUGGGCACUAGGUGUGGGC
This 733-nucleotide ribosomal RNA is filed under the name Streptomyces sp. RNAcentral describes it as "bacterial SSU rRNA". It matches the Rfam family "Bacterial small subunit ribosomal RNA", at positions 80 to 827 of the family's 1533-position model. The record is from RNAcentral. Lineage: Bacteria; Bacillati; Actinomycetota; Actinomycetes; Kitasatosporales; Streptomycetaceae.